GUUUCAUUUAAAAUUUUAAUAGAAUUUUAUUUUUUAGUUAAAAAGCUAAAAUUAAUUCAAAAGACGAGAAGACCCUAUAAAUCUUAAUUAUUUAAGUAAUUUUAAUUAAUUUUGAAUAAGUUUAUUGUUAUUAUUUAAAUAAUUUUAUUGGGGUGAUAUUAAAAUUUAAUAAACUUUUAAUUGUUGAUGUCAUUUAUUUAUGAUUAAUUGAUCCAUUUUUAGUGAUUAAAAAAUUAAGUUACUUUAGGGAUAACAGCGUAAUUUUUUUGGAGAGUUCUUAUCGAUAAAAAAGUUUGCGACCUCGAUGUUGGAUUAAGAUUCAUAUUUAAAUGCAGAAGUUUAAAUAUUAAGUCUGUUCGACUUAUAUUUCUUACAUGAUCUGAGUUCAAACCGGCGUGAGCCAGGUUGGUUUCUAUCUUUGAUUUAUUUAUAUAUUUUAGUACGAAAGGAAUAAAUCUAUAUUUUUUAAAAAUUUAUAAUAUGAAU
Molecule: ribosomal RNA, 486 nt
Filed under: Teleopsis nr. discrepans C MS-2015
Lineage: Eukaryota; Metazoa; Arthropoda; Insecta; Diptera; Diopsidae
Description: partial 16S ribosomal RNA
Rfam family: Bacterial large subunit ribosomal RNA (bases 249-407)
Source: RNAcentral